GGAAGAGAACUGUAGUUUGGAGUCUAAAGUUUGGAUUAUGCAGAGAUGGAGAGAAGACUAGAAAGAAAAGGGAUACGAAAAAGAUGAUGAAAGACGACAGAUGAGAGUUAAGAAGAUAGUUGGUAUUUGGAUGUUGUCCACUAGUGAUGGUGAGGAGUAGCAAGUCUAAUUAAGAUGGAAAAGGGAGCUAUUGUACUAAUGGCACCAUCGGUACAACAAGCAUGUAGUUCUAGUGGCCUAAUUAGUUUUAUUUCAAAUUGAAGGAAAACUCUUAGCUGGUUCUCUACCUUACGGGUAAGAAAAAAGAUUUCAAAUUGUUACUUUUCUUAUUUAGUUGUGAACUACGAUUGGCUUGAUCCCUUCGGAGGAUACGUAGGCAGUCUAAUAAGAAGUUAGAUGAAGCCAUAAUAUAAACAAGAUUAAAUAUUGGUGGAAAAUCGUCAGAGAGAGAAAUGUUAGUAUGGUUAAUAUAAAGGGUAACUAUGACAUUUUUGGGCCUAUCACCGUAGUUAGCUUCCGUAUAAAAUAAGGAAACUGUUUGUGUUGUGGCAUGAGCCAUUACUUGUGUUGCUCGGCUUGACUGAAGCCAAGGAUUGGCUCGGCAUGAGCUAAGGAAGUGGCAUGGCACGGGCCACAGUUUAGGCUGCUUGCCAGAAAUAAGGAAACUCCUUGAGUUUGAUUUCUUAACUGUCGUAGAUGAAGCAGUCAAGGAUGGAGUUGCCAAGAUCGAAGCUGAUGAAGAUGAAGUGUCAGAUAAGCGAACUGUUGAGUGUAAAGUGGCUGCUGCCCCCUGACCAUUCGCUGCCUAGUUGGUCUUCAAGCAUUUGAUCUUUUGAGCUAUGUGGCCUUCUCGCACUGGAGAGCUUACCUAGAUGGGUGUCAGGGAAUUAGUUUACCAUCUCACACUGGAGAGCAAUUAGGUUACCCUUUCUUACUAAAGAGCUAUUAGUUUACCCUCUCAUGCUGGAGAGCAAUUAGUUUACCCUCUCAUACUGGUGUUGAAGUUCCUUUCGAGUGCAAAUUUAAGGAUAGUAUAGUGGCAUAAGUAAGGGUGUCAAACCACAGAGACUGAUAAACAACUUAGUAAAACCUUUUACUCUUAUGUAUUAGCAUUAGUUAAUGACUCAUAUGAUUUAAAAUUGGGGCUUUAAGUAAUUUUGGAAAAUAAAUAAAGACAGAAAGAAAAGGAAAAAAUUAGAACUAUUUAAAAAAAUAAACCUAAGACAUGAAAUAGGUUAGAAAUGUUUUUAGGACAGAAAUCUGACUUAAAAUGAGCUAAGGCCUUCCCCUAAACAUUCAUGAAUCAAUGAGAUGAUCUUUUAACUUAUCCAUUUCAAAUGCACAACUAAGAUGUUCACAUAUCUAGCAUGGCAUAUAACUAGAUUGUAUGAAUCCUCACUUUCUAUGCAUGUUAAAUGCAUGGCAUAUACAUCAAACUUAUAUUUGUAGAUGCAACCUAGCAUGGCAUAUACUCAGAUUUAGCACCUAGAAACUCAUUAAGAACGAAGAGGAUUAUGAACAUCACAUGAACCCUAGAACAUGGCAUUUAUCCUAGAUUUCCAUGGAAUCAGCUUACAUGAUUAGUUUUGAACCUAACCACAUGUUGCUAAGGAAUGAAAGAAGAUAUGGUAGUCAUCCUUAUCAUUCUCAACAGAAAGCAAACAUAAACAAGGUAGCUAGGCUUGAAAUUAUGUGCUUGAACAAUUGAGACAGAAAACUAAUUCUAGCUUGCAAAUGAAAUUAAUAAACUAAAACUGCAUCAUAACAUUAAUUCAAUCAUGUCUAGGGCUUCAAAGCAGCCCUGAGUAUCCAUCACCUAAAUUAACAAAAUACAUAAAAAGUUAGGAAAGCUAGAACCUAGAAACGGCUUGAGGUGAAGGACUCCUCCUCUUUGAUGUUGUGUAUCUUCUCCUCUUUAUCCUUCAGAUUCUGUGUAUUUUUCUCCUAUUAAAGGGCUUAGGCGUUUUUUAACAUUUGACAUAUUUACAUCUUUAAAUUGACUCUCAUUUAUAGCUCAUUACAAUCAGCUUUUAGUAUAUGAGUAACUGAAAACUAGCUGUUAUUUGUAACUGAACAACUAAUCUUUAUUCUAUCAUAAUUUCUUGUCGAAAGUUCCAAAUCACAAGCUAUAAAGACUAUCAGAAAGAAGACUUCAAGGGCUUUCCAUAUAUAUGGCCCAUUUUCUAAUUCGUUCUGAGCACUUCGGGGCAAAGCUCGCAAGUUGGCUGUUCUGCAAAGACCUUUUCUAGCGGAUCUUGGGCCACUUGUGGGCUAUGAUCUGGUCUUGGGCGAGUUGGGCUUCAAACUAUCCAUUCUAAGCUCUUAAAAUAUUCAAAAUAAGAUGAUUUCUUGAUGUGAAAAUUAACUUGACACACAAAUUAAACCCUAUGGAUGACAAUUGUAGUAUAUGAACAAAUAGGGAUCGUUCUAAACCGGGGAUUAACUAGGGAUGCUAAUCAAUGUGAAACUGACUCAAGAACAUAAAAACAUAAUGUAGAACACUAAACUAGACUCAAUUAAUACAAAACUAGAGUUUAAAACACUUAAAUCAACCAAAAACUCAAAACAGCAACUAAAAGGCUCAAAACUGCCUUAAAACCACUUUCUGGGCAGUUUUGAGUACCUAACACUAAUUUGGACGAAAUUGGACUAAAACUUGACUCAAGACACUUAGAAACACAAACUAAAUUGACUUCUAACUAAUCUAACACUUUAAAAUAAAUGGGGGAUUGAUUUUGACGAAAUUGAAAUUAAAACAGAGACUUGUAAACAAACUUCAAACAAAACAGAUUGUGAUGAAAUAGAAUGGUGAGAAACUAGUUAGAGGGUUCCUUAUCCACACAUGAACAUAUGCAUAUAAUUUGAUUCCCAGUUAUGACUUCAACAAACAAUGAAUGACAAUGCUCCAAGUUAAUUAGGUUCGCUUAAAUUAACUUUCAGAUUUCCCUAGAUUCAUUGGAUCGAAUGGGAUACGCAUUAAAACCAAAUUAUUCCUCAUCAAAGUCCCUAACUAUGGAAUACGCAUGAUAGAGAUAUUCAACAAAGAUCAUUAAGUUCAACGGAAAUCACGAACAUCAACUAGGCAUUCAUAACUAUGGAAUACGCAUGUUAAUCCAGCCUAGGGUUUACUUAAACACAAUCGUGACUAGCGAUCUUUACUACUCAUGAAUAUAAGUUCAUAAUGAUUAGGUGAAAUUCCCUUAUAUCCUAGCAUCAAGUUUAGGCAUGCAAAUUAAGUGUCGACCCUCAACCCACAUACAUAGACAAGUUCUUAAUCAAAACAGAAAAGUAAACCACAUCUAAAGUUCAUGAAUUCAUAACUAGAGUAAAUCAAAUCAUAACCAACAUAUGUCCAUGGCUUCAAAUUCACCUCUAACUAAAAAGAAAUUAGUUCCACAUGUUUAACAUAAUUGAAAAGCAAAUUAAAUUAAACAUGAAAACAGAAACAAGAGAAGAAAGAACUCCAAACACUACUAAUGGCAGAUUGCAUGUGCAAGGUUUCUCCCUCCUUUGGACUGCACGGCACUACUUCUUUCUCCUUCAAUGGUGGCUGCACGAGGUGGUGAUGGUGGUGGAAAGGUGCGGCUGUGGUGGAUGAAUGGUUAUUUGAAUAGGGUAGAAGGUUAAGGGGAUUAGGGGGCACGGCAGAGACUUAGAACUAGGGAGAAUGAUGUGGUGGUUGCGGCAAGGCUUAGGGUAGAUUUCUGGAGAGAAUGGAUGAUAUGGGAGGUGGUAUUUUCGGCCAAAAGCUUUAAAGGAGUAUAGGCACGUAAAAACCCUAGCAAUCAGAUUAGAGUUUCUAGAAGCCCAAAUCCAACAGAAAAUAGGUUAAAACAAUCAGAUUUUGCAUGGGAAAAUGCCUAGGGUUCGGCUGGUUUAGUGGGCUAUGGUUAAGGCUUUUAGAAUGCCUUGCAAGGCAAGGAAAUCAGGUAUUUAAAACCCUAGGUGCGGCAUAGGAUUAGGGAGAUCAGAUUUGGAAAUGGGCUAGGGUUUAGGUGCGGCAUAUGGUGAAUAUCCACAAAGAAUUAGGGCUUAGGUCCACUUAGUUUUAGACAGGGAUUUGUAUAACUCAAAUCCACAACUAAAUGCCCUAAUAAGUCAGAAAUUAAGAGAGAAUGGCUAGGAAGUGCGGCUCAAGUCCAAGAGGUAAGGAUAGAUCAUCCAAAAGCCCAACGCCAAGAAUAGAAACUCACAAAUACGGAAACCUCCAAGAAUAGAAGCUUCCAACAUUAGAAACUUUGGUUUCCAAUUCCGACUUCUUUGUUCACUUUCAUUUCUUCAUUUCUUAAGCUCCUUUGACCUUCAAACUCGUCCAUUCCUUGUGCUCCAUAAGCCUACACUUCAUUCCAGCUCAAUUUUGCUCCAAAUGCUCCGAAUUGCAUCAUUUUUUGUAAUGUGCCCUUUAAACCUGAAAACACAUGAAAGUAGCUCAAAAGACUACUUUAACGAAGAAAACAUAACGAAAAUACAUAAGAACUAGCUAACUAAGGCGCAUAAAUAUGCUCCUAUCAUUUCUUCAAGCUCUUACUUUCAUCCUGAAAUACAAUACAAACAACAAAAUACCUUGUGAUGCAUAGAGAUUUUAAGUCAAAAACCUAGGCAAAAGAGGGUGUAAAAGUAUAACUUUAUACACUCAACAACUAGAUAGCUUACCCAUAUGGGUGUCGCGAAAUUGGUUUACCCUCUUGCACUGGAGAGCAAUUAGUUUACCCUCUCGCACUGGAAAACUUACCCAUAUGGGUGUCAAGGAAUUGGUUUACCCUCUUGCACUGAAGAGCAAUUAGUUUAACCUCUCGCACUGAAGAGCAAUCUCACACUGGAAAACAAUUAGUUUAACCUCUCGCACUGAAGAGCAAACCCAUAUGAGUGUCGGGGAAUUGGUAAACCCUCUCGCACUAAAGAGCAAUUAGUUUAUCCUCUCACACUGGAAAGCAAACCUUUUUGGGUGUCGGGGAAUUAAUUUACCCUUUCACACUGGAGACCAAUUAGUUUAUCCUCUCGCACUGGAAAGCAGAUCCUUUUGGGUGUCGGGGAAUAAGUUUAUCCUCUCACACUGAAGAGCAAUUAGUUUACCCUCUCACACUGGACAGCUUACCCAGAUGGAUGUCAGGAGAUUGGUUUACCCUUUCGCACUGGAUAGCAUGGAAGUCCUUGUUGUGAGUGCAGCUGAGGAAAGCUAGACUGCUGGACAAAUGAAAUAAGGGUUUGGAGAAUUUUGAGAGAAAAGUGUUCGGAGAAUUUUGAGAAGUUAGCAAGAGAAUUGGAACUUAGGUUUAUAGAGAAAAUGGGGUAGUAUAUAUAGGGCAUGGCUGGUCCCCUUUGGAGAGAUGGUGACCAACCAUUUGUGGCAUUUUUGGGUGUAAUUUGUAGUUAAUUAGCCAAUUAAUAGAUUAAUUAGGUAAUAAAUCAAUUAAUUAGCUAAUUAAUAUAAUUUGAAAUUAAUGUUUUGGGGGUUACCUUGUGGAGAAGAUUUGAUGAGGAUGGAUGAAAUAGGUUUUGAAUAAAUAACUAUUUUGGGCACUUUUGACUUGAUUGAGGGAUGAUUGUCCACUACUCGCGCAUAGGAGUUCCGGUGUUCCUUAAGGGUAAUUUUGUCCUUUUCAUCCUAGAAUCCACAUGUCUCCUCCAUAUUUUUCUUGAUUAUUUUUUGCUCCACAACACUAAUAUUGUUUUCAAGUUAACAAUAUAUUUCACAAUUUUAUUACGAAAGAUGCCAGUACAAUUAGAAAUAAAACCAUUUAGUACAAAUUUGUAAAUGACGAACAUAGGAUUUUUCUCAUUAUUCAACAAGAUGUGUUUGUAAACUUUGCAUUCGACUUUGGAAAUUGCAUAGCUUGAGUAUGACCCAAAAGAGAAGAUCUUAUGAACAUUUAGGGAGAUCAAAUUUUUUAAAUCAAAUUUGUAAAUUAAAUUAUAUGGUUAUAGAAGAUUUAUUUUCUUUUUUAUUUGGUAAUCAUGUGGUUAUAGAAUAUUGAUUAUGUCUAAAGUG
This 5989-nucleotide long non-coding RNA is filed under the name Malus domestica (apple). Its description in RNAcentral is "long non-coding RNA (MDOM_LNC018539)". The record is from RNAcentral. Lineage: Eukaryota; Viridiplantae; Streptophyta; Magnoliopsida; Rosales; Rosaceae.